This 31-nucleotide non-coding RNA is filed under the name Mus musculus (house mouse). The record is from RNAcentral. Lineage: Eukaryota; Metazoa; Chordata; Mammalia; Rodentia; Muridae.
GAUUAGUUCAUAUUGAUGUUCCUUCUAUUGA